AGUGAACGCUGGCGGUAGGCCUAACACAUGCAAGUCGAACGGCAGCACAGUAAGAGCUUGCUCUUACGGGUGGCGAGUGGCGGACGGGCGAGGAAUACAUCGGAAUCUACUUUUUCGUGGGGGAUAACGUAGGGAAACUUACGCUAAUACCGCAUACGACCUACGGGUGAAAGCAGGGGAUCUUCGGACCUUGCGCGAUUGAAUGAGCCGAUGUCGGAUUAGCUAGUUGGCGGGGUAAAGGCCCACCAAGGCGACGAUGCGUAGCUGGUCUGAGAGGAUGAUCGGCCACACUGGAACUGAGACACGGUCCAGACUCCUACGGGAGGCAGCAGUGGGGAAUAUUGGACAAUGGGCGCAAGCCUGAUCCAGCCAUACCGCGUGGGUGAAGAAGGCCUUCGGGUUGUAAAGCCCUGUUGUUGGGAAAGAAAAGCAGCAGGUUAAUACCCCGCUGUUCUGACGGUACCCAAAGAAUAAGCACCGGCUAACUUCGUG
RNAcentral lists this ribosomal RNA (492 nucleotides) under uncultured bacterium. RNAcentral's name for it is "partial 16S ribosomal RNA". It matches the Rfam family "Bacterial small subunit ribosomal RNA", at positions 29 to 507 of the family's 1533-position model. The record is from RNAcentral.